GACGAACGCUGGCGGCGUGCUUAACACAUGCAAGUCGAACGGAAAGGCCUGCUUUCCCUUGUGGAUUGCGGGUACUCGAGUGGCGAACGGGUGAGUAACACGUGAGUGAUCUGCCCCCAACUUGGGUAUAAGCCUGGGAAACUGGGUCUAAUUCCCGAUAGGACUGCAGGGUGGUGCCUGUGGUGGAAAACGAUUUUCUAGUGGUUGGGGAUGAGCUCGCGGCCUAUCAGCUUGUUGGUGGGGUAAUGGCCUACCAAGGCGGCGACGGGUGGCCGGCCUGGGAGGGGGGACGGCGGCAGUGGGACUGAGAUACGGCUCAGACUCCUACGGGAGGCAGCAGUGGGGAAGAAUGGACAAUGGGCGGAAGCCUGAUGCAGCGACGCCGUGUGGGGGAUGACGGGCUUGGGGUUGUAAGCUCCUUUCGAAAGAGAGGAAGCCACGUGGUUGGAAGGGUGGUGACGGUAGUGGUAGAAGAAGCACCGGCUAACUACGUG
RNAcentral lists this ribosomal RNA (494 nucleotides) under uncultured bacterium. RNAcentral's name for it is "partial 16S ribosomal RNA". It matches the Rfam family "Bacterial small subunit ribosomal RNA", at positions 28 to 507 of the family's 1533-position model. The record is from RNAcentral.